AGCCGAGCCGAGUCGAGCCGAGCCCGGGCGGCGUCGAGCGGGGCGAGGGGUGCGAACGGGUGCCGGUGCCCACCGGCCGGGGCGGCGGGAGCCGGGAGAGCCGCCGGUGAGGGCGCGGGGAAGGGAGCGGUGUGAGUUCGCCUGUGUGAAGUAGCCGGUGCCGCGCCGCAGCCAUGGGGAACCGCGGGAUGGAGGAUCUCAUCCCGCUGGUCAACCGGCUGCAGGACGCCUUCGCCGCCAUCGGGCAGAACGCCAACCUCGACCUGCCGCAGAUCGCUGUGGUGGGGGGGCAGAGCGCCGGCAAGAGCUCUGUGCUGGAGAAUUUCGUCGGGAGGGAUUUUCUGCCCCGUGGAUCUGGCAUCGUAACCAGGCGCCCGCUGGUCCUGCAGCUGGUAAAUGCUAGCACAGAAUAUGGCGAGUUCCUACACUGCAAAGGAAAGAAAUUCACUGAUUUUGAGGAGGUCCGUUUGGAGAUUGAGGCUGAAACAGAUCGUGUUACUGGCUCCAACAAAGGGAUUUCCCCUGUGCCCAUCAAUCUUCGAGUCUACUCUCCCCAUGUCCUGAACCUGACCUUGGUGGAUCUACCGGGUAUGACCAAAGUCCCAGUAGGGGACCAGCCCCCUGACAUUGAGUUUCAGAUCCGAGAUAUGCUCAUGCAGUUUGUCACCAAAGAGAAUUGCCUCAUCUUGGCAGUAUCUCCAGCCAACUCUGAUUUGGCCAAUUCUGAUGCUCUGAAGAUUGCAAAGGAGGUGGAUCCUCAAGGGCAACGCACUAUUGGAGUCAUCACUAAGCUGGAUCUUAUGGAUGAAGGCACUGAUGCACGAGAUGUAUUAGAAAAUAAAUUGCUUCCGCUUCGCAGAGGUUACAUUGGUGUAGUGAACAGAAGUCAGAAGGACAUUGAUGGCAAAAAGGACAUUCAAGCAGCUCUGGCUGCAGAGAGGAAAUUCUUUCUCUCCCACCCGGCCUACAGACACAUGGCUGAUCGCAUGGGAACCCCUUACCUGCAGAAAGUAUUGAACCAGCAAUUGACCAACCACAUCCGUGACACCCUGCCAGGCCUGCGCAACAAGCUCCAAAGCCAGCUUCUCUCCAUUGAGAAGGAGGUGGAGGAAUAUAAGAACUUUCGUCCUGAUGACCCUGCUCGCAAGACCAAAGCUCUGCUUCAGAUGGUCCAGCAGUUUGCUGUGGACUUUGAAAAACGCAUUGAAGGCUCUGGAGACCAAAUUGAUACCUAUGAGCUGUCAGGAGGAGCUAGGAUUAACCGCAUCUUCCAUGAGCGUUUCCCCUUUGAGCUGGUGAAGAUGGAGUUUGAUGAGAAGGAGCUGCGGCGGGAGAUUAGCUAUGCCAUCAAGAACAUCCAUGGUAUCAGAACCGGUCUCUUCACACCCGACAUGGCCUUUGAGACCAUUGUGAAAAAGCAGGUGAAGAAGAUUAAAGAACCUUGCCUGAAAUGCGUGGACAUGGUCAUUUCGGAGUUAAUCAAUACUGUUAGACAGUGCACCAAGAAGCUCAGCCAAUACCCUCAUCUGCGUGAGGAGAUGGAGAGGAUUGUCACGACUCACAUCCGAGAGCGAGAAGGCAGGACCAAAGAUCAGGUCAUGCUUCUAAUAGACAUCGAGCUGGCUUACAUGAACACAAACCAUGAGGACUUCAUUGGCUUUGCCAAUGCUCAGCAGAGGAGCAGCCAGAUGAGCAAGAAGAAGGCAGCUGGCAACCAGGAUGAGAUCCUGGUCAUCCGAAAGGGCUGGCUCACCAUCAACAACAUUGGGAUCAUGAAAGGUGGCUCCAAGGAGUAUUGGUUUGUCCUGACAGCAGAGAACCUCUCCUGGUACAAGGAUGAUGAGGAGAAAGAGAAGAAGUACAUGUUACCAGUGGAUAACUUGAAACUGCGAGAUGUUGAGAAGGGGUUCAUGUCCAGCAAGCACAUCUUUGCUCUCUUCAACACUGAACAGAGGAAUGUUUACAAGGACUACCGGCAGCUGGAGCUGGCCUGUGAGACCCAGGAGGAGGUGGAUAGCUGGAAGGCUUCCUUCCUUCGUGCAGGAGUCUACCCAGAGCGUGUUGGGGACAAGGACAAAGCCAGUGAAGCAGAAGAGAAUGGAUCAGACAGCUUCAUGCACUCCAUGGAUCCUCAGCUGGAGAGACAAGUGGAAACGAUCAGGAACCUGGUGGAUUCCUACAUGGCAAUUGUCAACAAAACCAUCAGAGACCUUAUGCCGAAGACAAUCAUGCACCUCAUGAUAAACAAUACCAAGGACUUUAUCCAUUCGGAGCUGCUGGCAAACCUGUACUCCUGUGGUGACCAAAAUACACUGAUGGAGGAAUCAGCAGAGCAGGCUCAGCGACGUGACGAGAUGCUGCGCAUGUUCCAUGCCCUGAAAGAGGCCCUCAACAUCAUCGGGGACAUCAACACCAGCACCAUCAGCACCCCAAUGCCCCCACCGGUGGACGACUCUUGGCUGCAGGUGCAGAGCGUACCAUCUGGACGCAGGUCCCCUACGUCCAGCCCCACACCACAGAGGAGAGCUCCUGCAGUGCCACCCGCCAGACCUGGGUCUCGAGGCCCAGCUCCUGGACCACCUCCUGCUGGUGGGUCCACACUGGGUGGUGCACCCCCUGUGCCCUCCAGGCCAGGUGCCUCUCCUGAUCCCUUUGGGCCCCCACCUCAGGUUCCUUCUCGGCCUAAUCGUGCUCCUCCUGGUGUUCCCAGGGCUCCCAAAGUGUGAAGUUGCCCCUUUUCUCCUGGCCCAGAGUUCUUCAAGAAUCACUAUCAGUGACCCCUGAGGACUGGCAGCCACGAAGGGGCCCUGCCUCACCUACUCGACCUACCAUAAUCCGACCGGCUGAACCGUCCCUCUUAGAUUUAUAACUCGAGGCUGUAGACAGCUGGCGACGAAUGCCGUGCUGGCGGCUGCCCCAUCCCACCCUCCCUUCCACAGCCACAGUCACUCCUCUCAUCCAUCCCACAUCUCUGCCUCCCACCCACCCUUCCUGGUGUGUCGUAAAACACUAGCCUAGUGAUUGAGCUCUUCGUCUUCACUCGUGCGUCCUGUAUUGCUUUGUGAGCAUAGAGUAGCCUUCAUUCAGUGGCAUGGAUCCCUGAAGUACACUGGCUCCUUGGAGAGAUCAGCUGCAGGGACAUCCUUAAGCCCAAGUGGUGGCUGUCCGUCCAUCUGCCUGGUCUAGCCUGGAUAAGUGUCCUGCCUGCAUCCGUUAGCUGUAGCACCCGGACUGAUCUAUAGCUCUUUUCUUGUAGUUAAGACUAAAGUGUGACUUAGAAGAACAAUACUAUCAAAACACGUGACACCGUUAGGAGCAGAUUCAAUGUCCUGUGUAUUAGUUUGACUUCUAAGGUGCAAAAAUUCAUGUUGGGAACAGUGCAAUCAACCUUCUAUCCAAGUGAGGCAGGGAAAACAAGGAAAGGGGGGGACCUCAGUGGAUCGGCGUAGUCCUGCUAGAGUGAAGACUGAGAUAGCGCACACACCUCAGCGUGCAGGGGGCACAUGGACCUGCUCACACUCGGCUCCCUUAUAGCUGGGGCAAUCCUGCUGGUGAUGCAGUGCUUUUGCAUCAUCGCUUUUGGCUGACUUUCCUGAAGCCAGCAGGGAGAGGGGAAUAGAUCCGCUGCUCCCCCCUUGCAAAAUGGACAGCCAAAUGUUUUCAGGGAGUUUUGCUGUGUAAUGUUUUGUUCAAAAUCUUUCUGCUUUGGAUAAGCACAUCUUCCCGUGUGGUUUGGGUACUGUGGUGACUUCUUCCGUAGCCUUUUCUUCUUGCAUGUGGAUGGUACGUGUUUGGGGAAACUUGUAACCGUUGUUGAUCGCAACUCAUCUUCUUAAGGUUUGGUUUCUACUUUUCAUGCUACAUGUAUUAAAAAAUACUUGAGAAUUAAAGAUAUGUCAACCCUGUCCAUCUCAGAUGUCAUGUCUCUACCAGAGCUGAAUGAGCCAUUUGUGUUGCAGGCUUUCACCAAGGCCUGAUUCAGAUUUAACUUAUCUCCAUUUCAGUGCUAUUGCUCUGUUGUGGAUCCUCUGUUGUUCUGAUGCCAGUUCCUUUCUGUAUUUUAACUAUUGUUUUACUACUUCUCCCCCUUUUUCCUUCCCUUUUUCCUUUGUUUUCCUUGUCUUUACCCUCCAGCCGGCCGGGUAAGGCCAGUCCCUCCCGCCCGGAGAGCCCAAAACCACCAUUUGACAUGUAGGCCUGCUCCCUCUGAGACUCUUUGCCUGCCUCUUAGCUGUUCUGUCCUGGAAUGGUCUGACUCGAAUCUCACCCAUGGCUUGUUCUGUUUGUAUUUUGUGACACACACACAUCAGCUGUGAUUGUAGUAAAACUGGGUUCUUCAUUUUCUUUCUUCCCAGCUGCUUAAAGGAGUUAAACAAGUAUAUUGUAGUAAUGAGAACCAUAUCUUUACUGUUAUAAAUAUCUAUAAAUAUAUAUAUAAGAUGAAAAAUCUAUCUAUGUCCAGGUGUUUAAAGCCAUUUGUGCUUCCAUGUGGAUUUUAGGAAAUACUUAAGUAGGGAAAGAAUAUCUAUAUACAUAUAUAUAUAUGUACACACUUACAUGCAAAAAGCUAACCAAAUCCCAAUGUUGUUUUUGAGCCGAUUGUUAAAUUCUCUGCUGUGUGCAGUUGGGUUAUUGUAUUACCCCAGACUUGUGGGUGAACUGUCUCAGUGCUGGUAGUAGCUGUGAUGCAGUUUGUGAUCUACCUGUCACUCUUGUUUAUUGGAUGAAAUAAACUAUCAUUUCUGUAUAAUGAAGGUCUCUGACUAGAAUAAAACCAUCUCUCUUGCUCUUUC
This is an RNA transcript of Pezoporus occidentalis (night parrot), 4793 nucleotides long. It is a transcript of the gene named dynamin 1, with no coding region annotated. Lineage: Eukaryota; Metazoa; Chordata; Aves; Psittaciformes; Psittacidae. The record is from RefSeq and is a predicted model, not a curated record. The transcript is spliced from 24 exons.